ACGGGAGGCAGCAGUGGGGAAUAUUGGGCAAUGGGCGAAAGCCUGACCCAGCAACGCCGCGUGAAGGAAGAAGGUCUUCGGAUUGUAAACUUCUUUUAUGAGGGACGAAGGACGUGACGGUACCUCAUGAAUAAGCCACGGCUAACUACGUGCCAGCAGCCGCGGUAAUACGUAGGUGGCAAGCGUUAUCCGGAUUUAUUGGGUUUAAAGGGUGCGUAGGCGGCUUGUCAAGUCAGUGGUGAAAGCCCCCUGCUCAACAGGGGAACUGCCAUUGAUACUGUCAGGCUUGAAUUCGGAUGCCGUGGGAGGAAUGAGUAGUGUAGCGGUGAAAUGCAUAGAUAUUACUCAGAACACCGAUUGCGAAGGCAUCUCACGAAUCCGACAUUGACGCUGAGGCACGAAAGCGUGGGGAUCAAACAGGAUUAGAUACCCUGGUA
Molecule: ribosomal RNA, 437 nt
Rfam family: Bacterial small subunit ribosomal RNA